UGGGGAAUAUUGGACAAUGGGCGAAAGCCUGAUCCAGCCAUGCCGCGUGAGUGACGAAGGCCUUAGGGUUGUAAAACUCUUUCGUCGGGGACGAUAAUGACGGUACCCGAAGAAGAAGCCACGGCUAACUCUGUGCCAGCAGCCGCGGUAAUACAGAGGUGGCGAGCGUUAUUCGGAAUUAUUGGGCGUAAAGGGCGCGUAGGCGGCCAGAUAAGUCCCGGGUGAAAUCCCUCGGCUCAACCGAGGAACUGCCUUGGAAACUGUCUGGCUCGAGGCCGGGAGAGGGUAGUGGAAUUCCCAGUGUAGCGGUGAAAUGCGUAGAUACUGGGAGGAACACCGGUGGCGAAGGCGGCUACCUGGACCGGUUCUGACGCUGAUGCGCGAAAGCGUGGGGAGCAAACAGGAUUAGAUACCCAAGUAGUCCCUGAGCGGGCUGGCAAGGCGCAU
RNAcentral lists this ribosomal RNA (447 nucleotides) under uncultured bacterium. RNAcentral describes it as "bacterial SSU rRNA". It matches the Rfam family "Bacterial small subunit ribosomal RNA", at positions 355 to 825 of the family's 1533-position model. The record is from RNAcentral.